AUGGGACCAGAGACAAGGGUGUGAAGGAGACCCCAGUUGGGGUAGGACAUUGCAGGUCAAGAAGGGGAAGAAGAGGACAAGAAGUCAAGGGCCGGGCUGUGGAGGAGAAUAAAGGAGGUCAAUGAGAGGUCACAUCUUCGUACCUCACUUCCUGACACAAACAAGUUUUCACUGUUGUCAGCAACAAAGCCCUGAUGUAGAGGCGGAAGAGAAAAAACUGCAUCGCAUUUUGUCUCCUGCAAGCAUCAUCCACAGCUACCAGAGGAAUGUAAUUCCAGAAAAGUUUCAAAGCGGGCGGUGAUGGUAAUUAUGUCUCAAAUGGCUGAGUCUAUGUGUCAGUAUUGUUUUGUCAUUUCUGUUGUCUACCCAAGAGCUAGCUGCCUGAACUCGCAGAGGGACAAAUCCGGUUUUUCUUUUUUGACUUGGUAAAAUUGAAUCAGACCUGACAGAGAAGUCAUUGCUCUUGGGGAAAAGAAAGUAGGAGCCACGAAAUGUCAUUUUAACAGAGCGUGGGUUUGGUGACUGUGGGAAAGGACUUAAGGACGCGCCUUCUGUUCGGGUUCCUAUGUAAUGAGCAAAGGCUACACGCACGCACAGACGCCACGGCUCCCGGAUGCUGCGACUCGCUGAUCGGGGUUUCGGUAGCGCCGGGAGCCCCUCCGGGGAUGCUGCGAAGGACUCUCGGCGGGUGGUGGUGAGAAAGCUGCGGCCGACGCCGCCAGUCCUGCUGUUGUUGCUGCAGUCACGUGGGAGCCCCUUUAAGUUUCCAUAGAGAGGCCUCUCCGGUGUCACAUGAUGGACAUGAUAUAAUGAAACAACAUUGUGGAGAGGAAAGCAUUAGGGGAGCCCACGGCUACGAAAACAAGUGAGUGAGAAGAGGUGGGAGGAAGAGAAACUACGCCACCUCCCUUGCAGCGGAGCCGGCGAGGAGAAGGGGGCCACACCAGGGGGGGGUGAGGGGGGGCAGGGAGACCCCGUCCUCAGCUCCGGCCGGGGGACCCCGCGGCCCACCGCGGAGAGAACAACUUUUAGCCGGCAGCCUCGGCCAGCCCUGCACCUGUCUGCGGAGCCUCCAUCGCUCCCUGUGAUCAUCAAAGGGAAAUUCUAGAAGAAUAUGCUCUACAAAUAUCCAUGCGCAUCGUUUUCCCCCGUACGUCUCGCUCCGGAGGAAGGGAAGAGAAAGGGAUUUUAGCAGCGGCGUGUGUUCAGCGGUAAGCACCACCAAGCCUCCCUGCAGUGGUACUUCUACUCAGGUCUUGGAUCCAGGGAUGAAGUAAGAUUUUACCGCACUUGUUUCCUGGGAAUCGUUUAACUGCAUUUUAUUAAUGCUUUCCAGAGUCAGAAUAGUUGGGAUAUUUUACCAUCUGGAGUUUCUCUGCCUCGCUGAUCGAAACUCAAACUUUGCUAGUUUAUGGGAAAUGAUAGACAACACCCUGUAACAGCUGAGAGAAAAAAGGAAGAAACAGAAGUACUUUUCAUGGAACAGAGUAAACCACUGCACAGGACACGCCUGGCCUGUGCUUGGGGAUCCUUUGUAUGACCGCUCAGGG
Rhinolophus ferrumequinum (greater horseshoe bat) is the source of this 1550-nucleotide long non-coding RNA. RefSeq lists it as uncharacterized. The record is from RefSeq and is a predicted model, not a curated record. Lineage: Eukaryota; Metazoa; Chordata; Mammalia; Chiroptera; Rhinolophidae. The transcript has 6 exons.